UACGUAGGGUGCGAGCGUUAAUCGGAAUUACUGGGCGUAAAGCGUGCGCAGGCGGUGAUGUAAGACAGAUGUGAAAUCCCCGGGCUCAACCUGGGAACUGCAUUUGUGACUGCAUCGCUGGAGUGCGGCAGAGGGGGAUGGAAUUCCACGUGUAGCAGUGAAAUGCGUAGAGAUGUGGAGGAAUACCGAUGGCGAAGGCAGCCCCCUGGGAUGACACUGACGCUCAUGCACGAAAGCGUGGGGAGCAAACAGG
Molecule: ribosomal RNA, 253 nt
Filed under: uncultured bacterium
Lineage: Bacteria
Description: partial 16S ribosomal RNA
Rfam family: Bacterial small subunit ribosomal RNA
Source: RNAcentral